This 32-nucleotide ribosomal RNA is filed under the name Lygodium japonicum. Its description in RNAcentral is "partial 16S ribosomal RNA". Lineage: Eukaryota; Viridiplantae; Streptophyta; Polypodiopsida; Schizaeales; Lygodiaceae. The record is from RNAcentral.
GUACUGGAAGGUGCGGCUGGAUCACCUCCUUU